AUUGAACGCUGGCGGCAGGCUUAACACAUGCAAGUCGAACGAGUGGCGGACGGGUGAGUAAUGUCUGGGAAAGUGCCCGCUGGCGGGGGAUAACUACUGGAAAAGGUAGCUAAUACCGCAUACUAUUGGAUGGGACCAGAUGGGAUUAGCUAGUAGGUGGGGUAAAGGCUCACCUAGGCGACGAUCCCUAGCUGGUCUGAGAGGAUGACCAGCCACACUGGAACUGAGACACGGUCCAGACUCCGACGGGAGGCAGCAGUGGGGAAUUUUGCACAAUGGGCGCAAGCCUGAUGCAGCCAUGCCGCGUGUAUGAAGAAGGCCUUCGGGUUGUAAAGUACUUUCAGCGGGGAGGCGUUACCCGCAGAAGAAGCACCGGCUAACUCCGUGCCAGCAGCCGCGGUAAUUC
RNAcentral lists this ribosomal RNA (406 nucleotides) under uncultured bacterium. RNAcentral's name for it is "partial 16S ribosomal RNA". It matches the Rfam family "Bacterial small subunit ribosomal RNA", at positions 30 to 526 of the family's 1533-position model. The record is from RNAcentral.